This 637-nucleotide ribosomal RNA is filed under the name uncultured Flavobacteriales bacterium. RNAcentral describes it as "bacterial SSU rRNA". It matches the Rfam family "Bacterial small subunit ribosomal RNA", at positions 82 to 718 of the family's 1533-position model. The record is from RNAcentral. Lineage: Bacteria; Pseudomonadati; Bacteroidota; Flavobacteriia; Flavobacteriales.
CGGGAGAGAGAGAGCGGCGUACGGGUGCGGAACACGUGUGCAACCUGCCUUUAUCUAGAGGAUAGCCUUUCGAAAGGAAGAUUAAUACUCUAUAAUAUAUUAAUUGGCAUCAAUUGAUAUUGAAAACUCCGGUGGAUAGAGAUGGGCACGCGCAAGAUUAGCUAGUUGGUGAGGUAACGGCUCACCAAGGCAAUGAUCUUUAGGGGGCCUGAGAGGGUGAUCCCCCACACUGGUACUGAGACACGGACCAGACUCCUACGGGAGGCAGCAGUGAGGAAUAUUGGUCAAUGGGUGCAAGCCUGAACCAGCCAUCCCGCGUGAAGGAUUAAGGUCCUAUGGAUUGUAAACUUCUUUUGUAUAGGGAUAAACCUACCCUCGUGAGGGUAGCUGAAGGUACUAUACGAAUAAGCACCGGCUAACUCCGUGCCAGCAGCCGCGGUAAUACGGAGGGUGCAAGCGUUAUCCGGAUUUAUUGGGUUUAAAGGGUCCGUAGGCGGACUUAUAAGUCAGUGGUGAAAGCCUGUCGCUUAACGAUAGAACUGCCAUUGAUACUGUAAGUCUUGAGUAUAUUUGAGGUAGCUGGAAUAAGUAGUGUAGCGGUGAAAUGCAUAGAUAUUACUUAGAACACCAAUUGCGA